RNAcentral lists this ribosomal RNA (410 nucleotides) under uncultured Methylosinus sp. Its description in RNAcentral is "bacterial SSU rRNA". It matches the Rfam family "Bacterial small subunit ribosomal RNA", at positions 980 to 1394 of the family's 1533-position model. The record is from RNAcentral. Lineage: Bacteria; Pseudomonadati; Pseudomonadota; Alphaproteobacteria; Hyphomicrobiales; Methylocystaceae.
CCAGUCAUGAACGGAUUGCAGAGAUGCGAUCUUCUCUUCGGAGCCGGGAACACAGGUGCUGCAUGGCUGUCGUCAGCUCGUGUCGUGAGAUGUUGGGUUAAGUCCCGCAACGAGCGCAACCCUCGCCCCUAGUUGCCAUCAUUGAGUUGGGCACUCUAGGGGGACUGCCGGCGAUAAGCCGAGAGGAAGGUGGGGAUGACGUCAAGUCCUCAUGGCCCUUACGGGCUGGGCUACACACGUGCUACAAUGGCGGUGACAGUGGGAAGCGAAGGGGCGACCUGGAGCCAAUCCCCAAAAGCCGUCUCAGUUCGGAUUGCACUCUGCAACUCGAGUGCAUGAAGGCGGAAUCGCUAGUAAUCGUGGAUCAGCAUGCCACGGUGAAUACGUUCCCGGGUCUUGUACACACCGAA